RNAcentral lists this transfer RNA (73 nucleotides) under Ailuropoda melanoleuca (giant panda). It matches the Rfam family "tRNA". From Rfam's summary of the family: Transfer RNA (tRNA) molecules are approximately 80 nucleotides in length. Their secondary structure includes four short double-helical elements and three loops (D, anti-codon, and T loops). The record is from Rfam by way of RNAcentral. Lineage: Eukaryota; Metazoa; Chordata; Mammalia; Carnivora; Ursidae.
ACCUGGCUGGCUCAGUUGGUAUAGCAUGUGACUCUUGAUCUCAAGGUUGUGAGUUCGAGCCCCAUGUUGGGCA